Molecule: long non-coding RNA, 877 nt
Filed under: Callithrix jacchus (white-tufted-ear marmoset)
Lineage: Eukaryota; Metazoa; Chordata; Mammalia; Primates; Cebidae
Description: lncRNA (ENSCJAG00000063700.2)
Source: RNAcentral
AGGUUUAGAAAAGAAAUUAUCAAAUAAUAUUUCUAAUAAGAAAUGGAUAUUUUUCAAUUUUGCCUUAGCUUAAGGUUGCUCUAUGUCAUGGUUCAAAUUCAGUGUUCAAUAACUUAUUGCCUAAAUGUACAAUGAUCUAUCUGGUCCCCUCAAUGAGGCCAGAAGAAAAGAAUAAACUGGUAAAAAGGGGGCUAAGAUCCUCCAAGAACUGAGUUUGUGUUCCAGCUCUAUCACUUACUUUUGAUUAUCUGUGGGCAAUUUAUGUAAUGUAUUUUAAAUUAUGUUUUCCAUACCAGUAACAGGGACACAAUAAUUUACAUCCUGCAUAUCUUGAGACUAAAUGAGUCAGUAUGUAUAACAGAACUUUGUGGUGCUUUACAAAUUGUAAUAUUGAUGUGUUUUUGACUCAGCAGGCCCUGUUGACUGGAGGGUGGCCAUUUGAUAACACAGAUUCUUUCCUGAGGAGACUUUGGCUUCUGGUGACUUGGGUCCCGGGCAGGCUGGCUGAAUUGGCUACAACCCAGAUUUGCCCUUAUAAGUGUGGAAAAUGGCCUCCAAUAUGACCCCAAGGCAAGAUGAAAGAAAACUGUGCUCUUGAAUGGCUUAGAGAUUCAGAGUCCCCCAACCAGUUUGAAAUGCCCACCUCAAAACAAUGACAUGAGAAGAAACAAAUCUCUAAGUCGCUGUUUUUUCAAGAGCAUUGUAGUUUGAGAUCUCUCUUUCAGCCGUUUAGUCUCCAAAUAAAGACUUACUGACCUUAUUUUACAGGUCAAGAAAAAAUGAAUUUCAGGGGGACAAGUCACUAAUGUAUUAGAAAUUUUCCAGCUCUCCUUCCUUGCCCAGCAGAGGGUAUUUCCACUCAAACACAAUGAACCCG